RNAcentral lists this ribosomal RNA (399 nucleotides) under uncultured Methanosaeta sp. RNAcentral describes it as "bacterial SSU rRNA". It matches the Rfam family "Archaeal small subunit ribosomal RNA", at positions 941 to 1338 of the family's 1478-position model. The record is from RNAcentral. Lineage: Archaea; Methanobacteriati; Methanobacteriota; Methanomicrobia; Methanotrichales; Methanotrichaceae.
AGACAAUAUGAAGGUCAGGCUGAAGACCUUACCCGAUUAGCUGAGAGGUGGUGCAUGGCCGUCGUCAGUUCGUACUGUGAAGCAUCCUGUUAAGUCAGGCAACGAGCGAGACCCACGUCCACAGUUGCCAGCAUACCCUCCGGGGUGAUGGGUACACUGUGGAGACCGCCGCUGCUAAAGCGGAGGAAGGAGUGGGCAACGGUAGGUCAGUAUGCCCCGAAUCUCCCGGGCUACACGCGGGCUACAAUGGUUGGUACAAUGGGCAUCUACCCCGAAAGGGGAAGGAAAUCUCUUAAAGCCAAUCGUAGUUCGGAUUGAGGGCUGCAACUCGCCCUCAUGAAGCUGGAAUCCGUAGUAAUCGCGUUUCAAUAGAACGCGGUGAAUACGUUCCCGGGCCUU